Molecule: ribosomal RNA, 468 nt
Filed under: Penaeus japonicus
Lineage: Eukaryota; Metazoa; Arthropoda; Malacostraca; Decapoda; Penaeidae
Description: partial 16S ribosomal RNA
Rfam family: Bacterial large subunit ribosomal RNA
Source: RNAcentral
UAGCCUGCCCACUGAUUUGUUUUAAAGGGCCGCGGUAUAUUGACCGUGCGAAGGUAGCAUAAUCAUUAGUCUUUUAAUUGGAGGCUCGUAUGAAUGGUUGGACAAAAAGUAAGCUGUCUCGGUUAUAAUAAUUGAACUUAACUUUUAAGUGAAAAGGCUUAAAUGUUUCAGGGGGACGAUAAGACCCUAUAAAGCUUGACAAUAAUUUCGUUAUAUUAUAAAUUGUUAGUAUAACUUGAUUUUAACGGGAGUUUGUUUCGUUGGGGCGACGGGAAUAUAAUAAAUAACUGUUCUUUUAAAUAUAAUUACAAAAAUACUUGGUAAAUAAUUGAUCCUCUAUUAGAGAUUAAAAGAUUAAGUUACUUUAGGGAUAACAGCGUAAUCUUCUUUGAGAGUCCACAUCGACAAGAAGGUUUGCGACCUCGAUGUUGAAUUAAGGUAUCCUUAUAAUGCAGCAGUUAUAAAGGA